UUUCAUACGUAUCAUGUCCCUCAUGAAUCAGAUCAAGCGUAGUUCUUGAAAAAAAAUGGACAAAAUAAUCUAAGAAAUCAAAUCUUUUUGGAUUUUUCAUUUAUAAAUUUUUUUAUUUUUCAAAUACAAAACAAGAAGUAAUAUAACAAAGACUCGAAAGUCUUAACUAGACUGACAGACUUGAUACUAAUGUACAAGACAAGUAAGAGAAAAUAUGAACAGACUCAAAAUAUAAAAAGGCUCCUUAAGCAGCUCCUGAAUCUAGUGGUCCUGGGGUAUAAAUCAUGCUUGAGAUGUGGUAAAAGAAUCCAUACCUGAAUUAGAAAAAUAAGACCAAAUAGAUUAGAUGACUCGAGACACUGUGUGAGACCACAACACCUCCCAUUGGACACAUGCAGGAUAUGAUUGAGCUAUUUUUUGGAAAUUAGACUACGUGGCCAAGAGUGGCUAGAAGUGUAAACUCAACAUAUGGUGACCCCAUGGACAUGGAAAAUGACUCACUAAAAACUUUUAUGGAUUCAAACUCCCAAUAUCAUGGCCCCAAAAAAUUAAUUUGCAGAAAUAACCCAUUUCAUAAAAACGAUCGAUAUGACCAGAAGUGGCCCAAGAUGAAAACUCAAAAAGGACGGACCUUAAAGUAAUAUGACACCUAGUUGUGGACUCAAAAUCCUAAGACAUGGGUUAUUGAACCACAUUUGCAAAAAUGACCCCAUUUUGCAAGAAUGGUCGAUGUGACCAAAAGUGGCUAGACAUGCCAGAUAUGGCUAAGGCCCCACAAAGCCAAGAACCUAAGACACUAGGAAGACCAGACCCUAUGUGGGUUGCCUAUGUAUCUCGCCUCGAAAGACGAGAAUCAAUUUCGCGUAUUUCGGGAAAAUGCAACUAUUUUAGAAAAAAAAUUAUAUUUUUGACUUUUUGUAAAAUGAUGAAAAAUAUAAACUCUUUUUGGAUUUUUUUUCUCCUUUUUCUUUUAAAUUUUGGAAAACGAUAGAAAAUAAAAAAUCUUUUUGGAUUUUUCUUUAUUUUUCUUUUGAUUUUUUUUUGAAAAAUAAUGGAAAAGUGUAAAAUCUUUUGAAUUUUUCGUUUUCAUUUUUGUGAAUUUUUUGAAAAAUGAUGGCAAAGUGUAAAUUUUUUUCUUGAUUUUCUAUUUUUAAUUUUUUUUGAUUUUUGAAAGACUAUGAAAGAAAAAUGCGAGUGGGCCCUGCUUGCUUCAUUUUUUACCCUAUUUUUCAAAUAUCUGUCCGUCAAAUGACCUUUUUACCCUCAAGUAUGCAACAUGUAUCACAUAGGGAUGAUUGACUGUCUUUUUGGGCCACGAGCCCAUUUUGACAAAAUUUGGACAGGCUUCCUACCAAGUGACAUGAUACUUGGGACCGAGCCCUACUAGGUGUAAAUGACAUGAUGCAAAUAAAAAUAACCUAAAGGCUGACCUAAGUUUGGGGUUCACUAACUAGGCAAUUCGGGGGAGCCUAUGGUCGAUGGCGGCUGCUCAAGCUUUUCACCCACUCCAUACGUCCGAUGGCUCCCCCUCCUAAAUUAAGGGUGACUCAACAAAGGCUUCGUGCACGCGACGCGUGCUCCGAGAUUUGUUGCAGAAGGAAGACCCAUGGUUAUGCAAGUGAUGAUAAUUAUAAAGCAGUAAACACAUAAAGCAAAAAUGUAAACACAUAAACAACUAGAAAAUAACAAAAUAUAAAACAUAAUAAAAAUUAAGCAAAGCUAAUUAAAAAAAAGCAUAAAAAAACUCAACCAAGUAUUUUAAAAUCCAACAAAAUCGAAUACUAGCUCGAACACGCGAGAUCCCAGCAGAGUCGCCAGAGAUGUCACACCCUUUUUUUUAAACAAACCCCACUAAACCCUCUUAAUUAAAUAAAAGGAAUUUAGUAAAAAGCUUGAAAAGGGAAGUGAUAAAAAAAAAUUUCAAAAGGAAAAUAACUUAGAGUCGCCACCUGACAUUGAUUUUCGGUGUGCCAGGUCACCAUUUUUAAAAUACUUUUUCCUUUUAAAACAUUUGGACUCAAGACUAAUUCCGCACCAGAGGUUCAGGUAAGGGGGUUCAUUUGACUCGGGGAGAAGGUGUUAGGCACUUCCCUAGUCCCGUGAAGGUCACGGUUGCGUACUCGAUCUAGUUGGCUUUUGGAAUCUAAUUGAGAUAAAAAAAACACAGAAAAGAAAGAAGAAAAAGCAAACACACAAGAGAUUCGAGGUAAAAAGAAAAUAAAACUAACACAAUAAAUUCUACGAGUUCCACUUUAGACCUCAUAAUACAAGUACCUCGGGGCAUACCCUGAAAUAAAAUAUGCACAAGUCUUUUGGGGCAUUUCCGGAUAAAUUUAACAAAGGGAACGACCUCUCACCUCGCAUCCUAAAACUUGCCUACCCAAAUAUUGUCGGCCCAAAACAUGCUUCUAACGGAUAAUAAAAAUAACCCAAAAUUAAAUAGAACUAAAUAUUUUCUCACCUUGUGGGACUAUAUUGGGUAGUUAUUAUUGUUGUUAUUGUUGUUUAAAUAGAACUAAAUAAAAUGAAAAUUCAAUUCUUGUAUAUGUGUUAACAACCUUAAAUGUGCUUCUAAUGAUAAAAAAGGGAAUAAUGCAAGAGUUAAACGUUUCUUUCUUUAGCAUUUCAAUUCCCACGAUACAUUUUCAAUUAAUCAUCACUAUCUUACUUCUCUUUCGUCCUAUCUCUCCAUAUUUUCUUAAUCAACAAUCAAAGGAAAAAUUAAUUCAAACUAACGAGAAUCAGCUGCAAAGAAUCAAACAAGCAAACAUAAAUUAACAAAUGCACGUUAAACUGAUAUCACUACAUAAACAUGUAAAAUAAGAUUAGUUACGAUCCAUCAAAUAUAAGAAACAAAAAAAUGGUGAGAAAUUGACCUCAAUGAGUAGAUCUCUCUUCAAUUAAAGCAACAACGUAUGAACAUGAGCGGGGACUCGAGUUCGAUCGGAAAACCUCGAACGGCAUGAACACGAAUCAGACUCGACGAAACUCUCAACCUCGUCGGAGAACACUUUUUUUUUAAUUCUGUCCGAAUCCGCCUAGAUUCCCUUCAUCUCUGUGUAUGUAUUGUGGUCGCCGGAAUUGGGGAUGGACGGUUGCAGUGAAGUUAGGGUGUUAUGAGGUGUUGUUUUGUUGAAGAAAAAUAACGAUGGGGCGUCGCUGUACUGGAAAGGAGCAGAAGCGGAAGCAGAAGGAGUGGGGCUGGCAGUUGCUAUCCCUUCCUUAGGGUUUUCAUCUUGUGUAUAUAUAAAGAAGAAGGUAGGGUUAGGGUGGGGAUUUAAGAGGAAUGGAAAGUGGACUAAGUCUUG
This 3308-nucleotide long non-coding RNA is filed under the name Nicotiana benthamiana. RNAcentral's name for it is "long non-coding RNA (NBEN_LNC020287)". The record is from RNAcentral. Lineage: Eukaryota; Viridiplantae; Streptophyta; Magnoliopsida; Solanales; Solanaceae.